CGGAACGCUGUUCGUCAAGUAAACAGGAAGCACAAACCUCCCAAUGUGCGCCAAGACCGUAAGCCUGGGUGAAAGGGCCCGUGUUCCCUUUCUGCUCCCAGGGAGGGAGGGGCCCAGGCCUGCCAUCUUCAGCACCUUCGGGAUGUUUCCAAACCAGGCUGUCAUCCUAGAGUCACUUAGCGAAGGCCGAAGGUGGGAACAGAACAAGGAGCAACCUACCACGGGGCCGGGUGCAAAGGAAGUCCUUGAGGAUGACAGCUGUGGUGAUGGACCCAUCCUAGACUUGUGGACCAACCGAGGCCUUGCGCGCGGUCACCCA
Molecule: long non-coding RNA, 319 nt
Filed under: Dasypus novemcinctus (nine-banded armadillo)
Lineage: Eukaryota; Metazoa; Chordata; Mammalia; Cingulata; Dasypodidae
Description: lncRNA (ENSDNOG00000052314.1)
Source: RNAcentral